RNAcentral lists this ribosomal RNA (303 nucleotides) under uncultured bacterium. RNAcentral describes it as "bacterial SSU rRNA". It matches the Rfam family "Bacterial small subunit ribosomal RNA", at positions 29 to 334 of the family's 1533-position model. The record is from RNAcentral.
AUUGAACGCUGGCGGCAGGCCUAACACAUGCAAGUCGAGCGCGAAAAUUCCUUCGGGAGUGAGUAGAGCGGCGGACGGGUGAGUAACGCGUAGGAAUCUACCCAGUGGUGGGGGACAACCUGGGGAAACCCAGGCUAAUACCGCAUACGCCCUACGGGGGAAAGCGGGGGACCUUCGGGCCUCGCGCCAUUGGAUGAGCCUGCGUCGGAUUAGCUAGUUGGUGGGGUAAAGGCCCACCAAGGCGACGAUCCGUAGCUGGUCUGAGAGGACGAUCAGCCACACUGGGACUGAGACACGGCCCAG